This 483-nucleotide ribosomal RNA is filed under the name Bacillus sp. MAL 5. RNAcentral's name for it is "bacterial SSU rRNA". It matches the Rfam family "Bacterial small subunit ribosomal RNA", at positions 954 to 1436 of the family's 1533-position model. The record is from RNAcentral. Lineage: Bacteria; Bacillati; Bacillota; Bacilli; Caryophanales; Bacillaceae.
AAGCAACGCGAAGAACCUUACCAGGUCUUGACAUCUCCUGACAACCCUAGAGAUAGGGCGUUCCCCUUCGGGGGACAGGAUGACAGGUGGUGCAUGGUUGUCGUCAGCUCGUGUCGUGAGAUGUUGGGUUAAGUCCCGCAACGAGCGCAACCCUUGAUUUUAGUUGCCAGCAUUCAGUUGGGCACUUUAAGGUGACUGCCGGUGACAAACCGGAGGAAGGUGGGGAUGACGUCAAAUCAUCAUGCCCCUUAUGACCUGGGCUACACACGUGCUACAAUGGAUGGUACAAAGGGCUGCAAGACCGCGAGGUUAAGCGAAUCCCAUAAAACCAUUCUCAGUUCGGAUUGCAGGCUGCAACUCGCCUGCAUGAAGCUGGAAUCGCUAGUAAUCGCGGAUCAGCAUGCCGCGGUGAAUACGUUCCCGGGCCUUGUACACACCGCCCGUCACACCACGAGAGUUUGUAACACCCGAAGUCGGUGGGGU